AACGCACAUCGCGCCCUUUGGCAUUCCGAGGGGCAUGCCUGUUCGAGCGUCAUUACACCACUCAAGCCUGGCUUGGCAUUGGGCGUCGGGGCUCCCCGCGUCUCAAUUUCGUCGGCUGGACGGCUCCGAUCGCAGCGUUGUGGCAUUAAAUUCGCUGGCGAGACGGGGCUUCCACGCCGUUUAAAAACGUUAUAUUCAAGGUUGACCUCGGAUCAGGUAGGGAUACCCGCUGAACUUAA
This 239-nucleotide unclassified non-coding RNA is filed under the name uncultured Capnodiales. RNAcentral's name for it is "sequence contains 5.8S rRNA gene, ITS2, 28S rRNA gene". Lineage: Eukaryota; Fungi; Ascomycota; Dothideomycetes; Capnodiales. The record is from RNAcentral.